Molecule: ribosomal RNA, 598 nt
Filed under: soil bacterium Cycl-S2R-M1LLLSSL-1
Lineage: Bacteria
Description: bacterial SSU rRNA
Rfam family: Bacterial small subunit ribosomal RNA
Source: RNAcentral
UGCCUGAUGGAGGGGGAUAACUACUGGAAACUGUAUCUAAUACCGCAUAAUGUCUACAGACCAGAGUGGGGGACCUUCGGGCCUCAUGCCAUCAUAUGUGCCCAAAUGGGAUUAUCUAGUAGGUGGGGUAAUGGCUCACCUAGGCCACUAUCCCUAUCUGGUCUGAGAAGAUGACCACCCACACUGAAACUGAGACACGGCCCACACUCCUACGGGAGGCAGCAGUGGGUAAUAUUGCACAGUGGGCGCGAGCCUGAUGCACCCAUGCCGCGUGUGAGAACAACGCCUUCGGGUUGUAAUUCACUUUCAGCGAAGAGGAAGGGUUUUGUGUUAAUAGCACUUUACAUUGACUUUACACGCAGAAAAAGCACCCUCUAUCUCCGCGCCCGCAGCCGCGGUAAUACAGAGGGCGCAAGUGUUAAUCACAAUUACUGGGCGUAGCGCACACGCAUGCGGUUUGUUAAUUCAUAUGUGAACUCCCCGCGCUUAACGUGGGAUCUGCAUUUGAAACUGGAAAGCUAGACUCAUGUAGAGGGGGGUAGAAUUCCAGGUGUAGCGGUGAUAUGCAUAGAGAUCAAGAAGAAUACCGGUGGCAAAC